CUUGACUCCCUCCCUUCACAAAACCCCUGUUAGUCCUCUUUAUGUUUAUCCUAAUAGGACCAUGUCUAUUAAAUUGCCUACAGAAGUUCCUACAAGAUCAGAUACACAAAUUCACCAACCAGCCGGUCAAUCAACUACUUCUUUAAGACUACCAGCCCCUGAUGCCCAAGACAGAGACCUAUAACUCAUGACCAACUCCUCUGGCUCCAGAGACUUUGCCCCCACCUAAAA
RNAcentral lists this long non-coding RNA (231 nucleotides) under Marmota monax (woodchuck). Lineage: Eukaryota; Metazoa; Chordata; Mammalia; Rodentia; Sciuridae. The record is from RNAcentral.